CCGCUGAACUUAAGCAUAUCAAUAAGCGGAGGAAAAGAAACCAACAGGGAUUGCCCCAGUAACGGCGAGUGAAGCGGCAAUAGCUCAAAUUUGAAAUCUGGCUCCUUGGGGCCCGAGUUGUAAUUUGGAGAGGGUGCUUUGGUGUCGGCAGCAGCCUAAGUUCCUUGGAACAGGUCAUCAUAGAGGGUGAGAAUCCCGUAUGUGGCUGAUUGUCUUCACCAUGUAAAGCCCCUUCGACGAGUCGAGUUGUUUGGGAAUGCAGCUCUAAAUGGGAGGUAAAUUUCUUCUAAAGCUAAAUACUGGCCAGAGACCGAUAGCGCACAAGUAGAGUGAUCGAAAGAUGAAAAGCACUUUGGAAAGAGAGUCAAAAAGCACGUGAAAUUGUUGAAAGGGAAGCGCUUGCAGCCAGACGUGCCCGUAGUUGCUCAUCUGGGGAUUUCCCCAGUGCACUCUUCUAUGGGCAGGCCAGCAUCAGUCCGGGCGGUUGGAGAAAGGCCUGUGUCACGUAGCUGCUUUCGGGCAGUGUUAUAGGGCAGGUGGAAUACGACCAGCCUGGACUGAGGUCCGCGCAUCUGCUAGGAUGCUGGCGUAAUGGCUGUAAGCGGCCCGUCUUGAAACACGGACCAAGGAGUCUAACAUCUAUGCGAGUGUUUGGGUGUCAAGCCCGAGCGCGUAAUGAAAGUGAACGGAGGUGGGAACCCUUGGGUGCACCAUCGACCGAUCCUGAUGUCUUCGGAUGGAUUUGAGUAAGAGCAUAGCUGUUGGGACCCGAAAGAUGGUGAACUAUGCCUGAAUAGGGUGAAGCCAGAGGAAACUCUGGUGGAGGCUCGCAGCGGUUCUGACGUGCAAAUCGAUCGUCAAUUUUGGGCAUAGGGGCGAAAGACUAAUCGAACUAUCUAGUAGCUGGUUCCUGCCGAGUUUCCCUCAG
RNAcentral lists this ribosomal RNA (928 nucleotides) under Byssosphaeria guangdongensis. Its description in RNAcentral is "Byssosphaeria sp. XRX-2023b partial large subunit ribosomal RNA". It matches the Rfam family "Eukaryotic large subunit ribosomal RNA", at positions 25 to 976 of the family's 3401-position model. Lineage: Eukaryota; Fungi; Ascomycota; Dothideomycetes; Pleosporales; Melanommataceae. The record is from RNAcentral.